This 63-nucleotide microRNA precursor is filed under the name Taeniopygia guttata (zebra finch). RNAcentral's name for it is "Tgu-Mir-1729_pre stem-loop". Lineage: Eukaryota; Metazoa; Chordata; Aves; Passeriformes; Estrildidae. The record is from RNAcentral.
AUCCCUUACUCACGUGAGCAGUCGUCUCUAUGUCAAAGGGACUACUCGGUGAGUAAGGAUCGC